This 508-nucleotide ribosomal RNA is filed under the name uncultured bacterium. RNAcentral describes it as "partial 16S ribosomal RNA". It matches the Rfam family "Bacterial small subunit ribosomal RNA", at positions 29 to 523 of the family's 1533-position model. The record is from RNAcentral.
AUUGAACGCUGGCGGCAGGCCUAACACAUGCAAGUCGAGCGGCAGCGGGAAAGUAGCUUGCUACUUUUGCCGGCGAGCGGCGGACGGGUGAGUAAUGCCUGGGGAUCUGCCCAGUCGAGGGGGAUAACUACUGGAAACGGUAGCUAAUACCGCAUACGCCCUACGGGGGAAAGCAGGGGACCUUCGGGCCUUGCGCGAUUGGAUGAACCCAGGUGGGAUUAGCUAGUUGGUGAGGUAAUGGCUCACCAAGGCGACGAUCCCUAGCUGGUCUGAGAGGAUGAUCAGCCACACUGGAACGGAGACACGGUCCAGACUCCUACGGGAGGCAGCAGUGGGGAAUAUUGCACAAUGGGGGAAACCCUGAUGCAGCCAUGCCGCGUGUGUGAAGAAGGCCUUCGGGUUGUAAAGCACUUUCAGCGAGGAGGAAAGGUUGGUAGCUAAUAACUGCCAGCUGUGACGUUACUCGCAGAAGAAGCACCGGCUAACUCCGUGCCAGCCGCCGCUGUAA